RNAcentral lists this ribosomal RNA (507 nucleotides) under Triticum aestivum (bread wheat). RNAcentral describes it as "partial small subunit ribosomal RNA". Lineage: Eukaryota; Viridiplantae; Streptophyta; Magnoliopsida; Poales; Poaceae. The record is from RNAcentral.
AUGAUUAAUAACAGAUCUUGGAACAUUUUGAACUGGAACAUUAGGGUUAUCAAUGCAGAAGAAAAAUGGUUAGCUUUAAAGCAAAAGGUUGAGGAAAGUGUAGCUGGGAUUAUUUGUUUACAGGAGACAAAAAGAGAAGUGUUUGACCUGGCUUAUGUCCAUAAUGUUUCCCACACGGAUUUAAUAAAUUUGAAUACUUGCCUUCUGUUGGGGCCUCUCGCGGACUCAUUAUUGCUUGGGUGGGUUCUCUCUUCCAAGGAAAAGUUUUGUUCCAAAACAGGUUCUCUCUCAGUGAAAUUUAUUUGCAACACCUCCAACCAGUCUUGGGUUUUGACAAACAUCUAUGGUCCUAGUAAUCAGGAAGAUAAAGCUGAAUUUUUAAACUGGUUCACUAACAUUCAAAUGCCCCCUGAGGUGGAUUGGAUAGUGAUGGGUGACUUCAACUUUAUCAGAUCUCCAAGUGACAGAAACAAACCAGGGGGAUGUGAAUCAAAUGCUUCUUUUUAA